This is a long non-coding RNA of Lolium rigidum, 273 nucleotides long. RefSeq lists it as uncharacterized. The transcript is spliced from 3 exons. The record is from RefSeq and is a predicted model, not a curated record. NCBI's taxonomy places the organism in Eukaryota, Viridiplantae, Streptophyta, Magnoliopsida, Poales, Poaceae.
CCCGACCAGAUCUCCGUCCGCCAUGGCUGCGUCUGUACCCGAGCUCCGCCGUGGACAGCUAUAAAAGGAGGCGCACCUCAACCUUGUCAACAUCGACACACUAGCCUGGAUGGUGGUCCCCGCCCGUCAGCCUCUAACCGGAGCCACCUCAGCUUUCCUGCCUAGUCAGCAUCCCAGUCAGCAGCCGGCCCACGCGUCAGCACCUGCGGCUGGCUCUUCCUGGCAUUUGCUUCUUCCCGGAUAGGAUCGCGAAGUGGUGUUGUGAGACACGAC